CCCAACGCGGUUUCUACGAAAAAGAAAGACAACCAAUGUCUUUGCUUUUCUCCUCUUCUCGCUCCUUUUCUUCUCUCCCUUUAUAUAUUCAGUGCCAAAGCCCUUGCUCACCAAUCCGACGUGAGAGAGAGGGGUAGAGACGGGUGAUGGAAGUUUUUGGAGAUGGGUGGAUUGGCAAAACGCUCCCUUCCUCUUUCCCAUCUAUUGUAUUUGUAAUAAUAUAUGCAAUGAAGUUGAUUUUGCCAGCUCCGCCCAUUCCAAACAUUUCCGCUGCUUCUCUCUGUCCCUUGUGUCUCUCAUCCAAUAAAUACUUGGGUUGAGUGAAAAUAAAAAGGAGGAAGAGGGAAAGGGAGAGAGUGGUGUUGGGAGUAAUAGGUAUGGGGGGUAUGGGCAGGUUUGUGUUUUUUUAAGGCACAAUUCUUCCCAACACCUCCCAUACCCUUCAUUUCCAACCGUUGCUCCCCUUCCCUACCCUUUUUCAGAGAUGUCUCCAUCAAUUUCAAGAUCUGUAAUAUUGGGUGUUUAUUAUUUUGUCGCUGUGUUCUCAAAGAAGUCGACGGCUAUAGAUGCUUUCCAUAAAUAAGUAAAAAGAGCUACAGAUGCCACAUGUGAUAUGUUUGACGAUAGGAUAGAUCAACGACGUAGGAUGCUUGUUAGUCAAAUAAAGUCAAUGGGAAUAAAUUAGUAUAAGGAUGAGUAUUCGGUCGAGUUGAAUCAAGUUAAAAAAUUUUGAGUUAGUUGAGUUGACAAAUCUUAUUUUAGCAAUUGAACUCAUUUUAAAUAUUUUUCGAAUCAAGUCAAAAAAUUUUGAGUUGAGUCGAGUCGAAUUAACGAAUCUUAUUAUUUAUAUUUAAUGUUCUGUUUACAUGAACUGAUUAUUUUACUAGUAGACAAA
Long non-coding RNA from Gossypium raimondii (Peruvian cotton), 895 nucleotides. RefSeq lists it as uncharacterized. The record is from RefSeq and is a predicted model, not a curated record. NCBI's taxonomy places the organism in Eukaryota, Viridiplantae, Streptophyta, Magnoliopsida, Malvales, Malvaceae. The transcript is spliced from 2 exons.